AAUCAACGCUGGCGGCGUGCCUAACACAUGCAAGUCGGACGUGAAAGGGGUUUCGGCCCUGAGUAGCGUGGCGGACGGGUGAGGAACGCGUGGGUGACCUGCCCUGCAGAGGGGGAUAACCCUCCGAAAGGGGGGCUAAUACCGCAUGAGCCCGAGAGGGGAAAGACGGUGAGUCGCUGCGGGAGGGGCCUGCGUCCGAUUAGCUGGUUGGUGGGGUAAGAGCUCACCAAGGCGACGAUCGGUAGCCGGUCUGAGAGGACGGACGGCCACACUGGGACUGAGAUACGGCCCAGACUCCUACGGGAGGCAGCAGUUGGGAAUCUUCGGCAAUGGGCGCAAGCCUGACCGAGCAACGCCGCGUGAGUGAUGAAGGUUUUCGGAUUGUAAAGCUCUGUCUUCCGGGACGAUAAUGACGGUACCGGAGGAGGAAGCCACGGCUAACUACGUGCCAGCAGCCGCGGUAAGCAUACUCGUA
Molecule: ribosomal RNA, 475 nt
Filed under: uncultured bacterium
Lineage: Bacteria
Description: bacterial SSU rRNA
Rfam family: Bacterial small subunit ribosomal RNA
Source: RNAcentral